Long non-coding RNA from Gymnodraco acuticeps, 548 nucleotides. RefSeq lists it as uncharacterized. The record is from RefSeq and is a predicted model, not a curated record. The transcript has 6 exons. NCBI's taxonomy places the organism in Eukaryota, Metazoa, Chordata, Actinopteri, Perciformes, Bathydraconidae.
GUUGAUCGAAGUGGAAAAAGACGAUAUAUAAAAAGGUGUGGGACAUUCCAAAAGGGAGCACUCCACGAAUGGACAACAGUUUGCAGGACCUCUCAGGCACCCACAACCAGCGUCUGAUCGGGAUGGAGCACCAACCCCAUUCCAGGAAGAGGUCCAGUCUGCCCCGGGUCAGAACCACUUCUAUAGCAACUACACAACUGUGUAUGCACUUAUCAUUAUUGAUAGCCAGUCUGAGCCAGAAGACACAAUGGAGCAAAGCACAGAAUACCUGACUGCGGCACACAUUGUUGCAGAACUCUCUGCAAAAAUAACAAAUACAUCUUGCAGCAGGUUCAAUAUUAAUAGAGCCAGUGUGUGCGAUGGAGCAAUCCGCGGCUUCAAAGGUGCCUCAUUCGAUCCCUCUCAUGAGAUGUCAGUUAAGUUCACUGAUGAUGAGGGACACACUGAGGAUGGAGGGGACAAUGGUGGUCCCAAGCGUGAGUUCCUGACCCUCCUUAUGGAAUGCCUGAGAAUGAAGAAAACAUCACGUCAGCAACUGUUUGUGCCCC